AAGUAAUUGUGUUACAAAGAAAUACAGUUACGUACCCUAAACCAAGGUCUCACAGAGAAAAGGAAGCCUGUGCACAGACUGGGUCAACUGUGUCUUCUCUACUGUUCCUACCUCAAAGUUGGUUUCUCCCUUGUUGCCUAGAAAAGCGUCGCCCUGACUGGGUAUGAUUGUUCUUCGAUCAGUAUAUGCAUAUAUAUGUAUUUUUCAUUCUUUCCUGGCUGAUUAUUGUGUGGGUGGUUGUUUGGCGCCUCCUAGCGGCCGGCUAGCAGUACAGGCCUCCUCCAGAGGCCGCUUGGGCUGACGGCACGGCUUGUGGCCCACAGGGGCUGCCACCUUUCUAGAGUUCUCUUGUCCUCUGGAGCUCCAGUGGCAGCUGCCGAGGGAGGGACAGCCCCCGCUGUGAGCUGAGCAGAGCUCGGGAGUCCUGCAGACUUCAGCAGAACAGUCCCGAUGGUGCCAGAGCUCUGGCGCGUCCCUUGUGAGUCAUAGCUCAGGCGUGUAGGGCUGUAGAGGGGAGGCUGUUACCGCGCUCCCGGCAUGAGCUUAGUGUGGGGCUGCCCGGGCUGGUCCCCAGCUCACCGCAGCUGCGGAGGCCCGACCCUCGGGACCCACCAGGCAUGAUGCAGGGGGCCGGGGACACCCCCCACGCCCGGUCGCGGGCCCAUGUGUGUCCUGGCCGUCUGAGGCUCUGGCCGAUUUUUUUUCCCAAGUGCCCAUGGAGAGUCAGGGACCGUCCUGUACCAUCUUCCGAGAGCCGGGAAGGGUCCGCCCGUGGGCUUUCCGAGCGCCGAAGGGGCCACAUGCUGCUCUGAGGGUGCCGCAGGUUCAGGGGGCUCCCUGCUUGGUGUCCACCCCCUCUGGUUUCCUCCUCUUCCCACCCUGCGGGUGGCUCGUCGCCCUGGCUGGGACGCGGCUGUGGGAGCGUGGUGGGAUGGCUGAGGCGCGGGCGUCAGAGGGUGUGGCCCGGCAGCCCCCGUUUCAGGGGUGGCUGUGUGGUCUGGAAGUGGCGGUCCAGGUCCUGGGCCUCUCCCACUCUGCAGCGGGGAGGAGGGGUCGGUGGGGAGUAGGGGCCGGCCGCCCCCCCUCGAGCUCUUCCCCGUCUUUCUGCCGCCCGAGUGGACCAGCAGACAGUGUGGGAGAGCGCUGGGAAGGAAGGUUGGCGGAGUUACACUCCAGACGGACGGGCUCAGGCCCCGCGCGCCACACUUGGCCACACUUGGCGCGUAGUGUGGACCCGGUGGGCCUCUGCCCUCGCCAUCGGCUGGCUUCUCUGUCCAGCCGCUGGGUCGACCAGAUGUCAGCCCCAAGGUUAGGAUUUGGCCUCCAGCUUGAAAUGUUUAAGACGGACUAGAUAGCGCUCGCCCGCGGCAGUACCGCUUAGGUCCAGCAGAGGGUGCGAUUACGGCUCACGUGCCCUCCACCUGCCCGGACUCACCCAGAGAUGCUGUCUCACCGUGUUGGCCCCGGAUAGUCUUGGACUCCUGGGUUCCAGGUAUCCUCCGUGGCCUCCAAAAGUGCUGGGAUUACAGGUGUGAGCCACUGUGCACGGUCUGGUCAUGUUUUUGAUGUGCUGAUUCUUUCCAGUCCAGAUGCAUAAUCUCAUGUCUGAACAUUCCUGCUGGUGUCAUUAUGACAUAUGACUUUACCCAGCACCAGAGUGAUUUGGUGCCCCUGCCCUGGCCUAGCCCAUGGAAGGGAUUGUGACAUAUCCCUGGACCCAGUACCGAGGUGGUGUGACUAUUCUACUGCCUUGGCACUACCCACAGGGGACACUGUGACAUCACUACAUCUUGUACCCAGGUGGUGUGAAUCUUCUCUCCAGCCUUGGCUCUUCCACAGGGGACACUGUAUCAUAUCGCUGGGCCCCACACAUAGGUUAUAUGACUCUCCUGCCUGUGCCCUGCCCAUGUGGGCCACUGUGACUUUUGCUGGGUCCAACACCCAGGUGAUGUAACUCUACUGCCUAGGUCCUGCCUACAGAAGAUCUUGUGACAUAUCCCUGCACCCAUCACACAGGUUCUGCCCAAAGAGGAUAUUGUGACAUGUCACUGGGCCUAAUACUAUGCUGACAUAUUCUUAUGCCUUGACACUGCCCUUAGAAGGCAUGGUGAUUGAUUGCUGGGCCCAGAACCAAUGUGAUGUGAGUCUCCUGCCUGGACCCUGCCUACAAGGUGCAUUGUGACAUAUCUCUGGGACCUUUAACUAUUUUAUGUGACUCUCCUCUCUUACCUGGAUGUUGCCCAAAAAGAGAUUGUGACAUAAAUUUGGGCCCAACACAUAGGUGAUGUGACUCUCCUCUCCUGCCUGUUCCUUGCCCACUGAAGAGUGAAUGACUUAUUGCCGAGUUCAGCACACAAGUGAUGGGAUUCUUCUGCCUGCUCACAGAAGUCAUUGUGACAUAUAUCUGGGCCUAUCACUGAGGUUAUGUGACUCUCUUCUUCCUGGAACCUGUCCACAGUGGGGAGUGUCACAUGUUGCUUGGCUCAGAACCUACAUGAUGUGAUUCUCUUCUUAUGCCUGGGCCCUGCCCACUGGAGUGAUUUUGACAUGUAGCUGGGCCCAGCCCCAAGGUUAUGUGACUCCACACAUCUUCCUGAGCCCUACCCACAGGGGGCAUUGUGUCAUAUCUCUGAGACCUUCAAUGAGGUGAUGCGACUCUUUUGUUAGGGCCCUCUUCUCAGGAUAUUGUGACAUUGCUGAGCCCAGCAUCUAGGUGAUGUGACUCUUCUCUACUGUUUGGUCUCUACCCAAAAAGGGAUUGUGACAUAUCACUCUGUCAAGAACCUAGAUGAGGAGAGGAUUGUAGCAUAUUCCUAAUGGAGCACCAAGGUGAUGUGACACUGCUGCCUGGUCCCUGCCCUCAGAGAAGAUUGUGACAUAUCACUAUCCCAAAACCCAGGUGUGAUUGUUACAUACACCUCUGCCCAGCACCUGAGUGAUUUGACUCUUCUGCUUGGGCCCAGUGUACAGAUGGGAUUGUGCCGCAUUGCUGGAGCCAGCACUUAGGUGAUGUGAGUCUAUUCUCUUGCCUUAGUGCUUUUCACGGAGGGCAUUGAGACAUCACUGGGCCUAGUGCCCAGGUGACGUGACUUUCCUCUACUUCCUGGGCUUUUCCCAAGAAGGGAUUGUAAUAUAUUGCUGGGACCAGAACCUAGGUGAUGUGACUCUCGUCUCCUGCCUGGUUCCUCUUGCACAUAUUGUGACAUGUGGCUGGUCCUGACACGUUGGUGAUGUGACUCUCCUGCAUGGGACUUGCCCACAGAGGUAUUACAACAUAUAUUUUCAUUCAUCAUCUAGAUGAUAUAAUUCUCCUCUUCUGCCUGGCCCUGCCAAAAAGUGGGAGAUUAUGGCAAAUCACUGAACCCAGCACCUAGGUGAUGUGACUCUUUUGUUUGGCCUGGGCCUCUCAUGUUUUGGGUAUUGUAAAAUAUCACUAGGCCCACCACCUAUGGGAUUGCAUGCCCCUACCUUGGCUCUGCCCGCAGGGACCUUGUGACAUAUAUCUGCACCCAUGACCUAGAAGAUGUGACAUUUAUUUUUUGCCUGCACCCUGCCCUGCACAGGAAUGAUUGUGACAUAUCCUUGGAACCAGACACCAGGUGAUGUGGCUCUUCUGCCUCUGUCUUGCCCACAGGGAGCAUUGU
Molecule: long non-coding RNA, 3644 nt
Organism: Gorilla gorilla gorilla (western lowland gorilla)
Lineage: Eukaryota; Metazoa; Chordata; Mammalia; Primates; Hominidae
Exons: 5
Source: RefSeq, a predicted model, not a curated record